AGUACAGCAGUACGGUACUUACUGGAGGCCCUCAGUACAGCAAUACGGUACUUACUGGAGGCCCUCAGUACAGCAGUACGGUACUUACUGGAGGCCCUCAGUACAGCAGUACGGUACUUAAUGGAGGCCCUCAGUACAGCAGUACGGUACUUAAUGGAGGCCCUCAGUACAGCAGUACUUACUGGAGGCCCUCAGUACAGCAGUACUUACUGGAGGCCCUCAGUACAGCAGUACUUACUGGAGGCCCUCAGUACAGCAGUACUUACUGGAGGCCCUCAGUACAGCAGUACUUACUGGAGGCCCUCAGUACAGCAGUACUUACUGGAGGCCCUCAGUACAGCAGUACUUACUGGAGGCCCUCAGUACUUAGCAAGUUUGGUUGAAGCUGUGAACGUGACAAAAAAUACUAUUUUCUUAGUUAUUUUGUUGUUGAUCGAUACUUUUGAAAAACAAAAACAAAUAAGACCUUUACAAUGCCACUGCCUCAGUGCCAUUACCAUGCAGUAAUGACUUUAGCUUCAAUCUGCUCUAUCUAAAGAAUACGGAGCAAUAUUUACAAUGUUUACUUCCUCUUAACUAAGUGUCAUACUGUGUGAUACAGUGGCUGCAAUGCAUAACAUGCAAUGGUGAACAGGUUAUGGUGAGCUUACAAUGGUGAACAGGUUAUGGUGAGGUUACAGUAGUGAACAGGUUAUGGUGAGGUUACAGUAGUGAACAGGUUAUGGUGAGGUUACAGUAGUGAACAGGUUAUGGUGAGGUUACAGUAGUGAACAGGUUAUGGUGAGGUUACAGUAGUGAACAAGUUAUGGUGAGGUUACAGUAGUGAACAGGUUAUGGUGAGGUUACAGUAGUGAACAGGUUAUGGUGAGGUUACAGUAGUGAACAGGUUAUGGUGAGGUUACAGUAGUGAACAGGUUAUGGUGAGGUUACAGUAGUGAACAUCGUUGUCGUGAGAGAGUAGCUGAACCACGCCCUGGACCAGAGCUACAUUUACAGUAGCUCUGGUCCAGCUCUGCUCCAACGAUCACCGUCGUCGUGAGAGAGUAGCUGAACCACGCCCUGGACCAGAGCUACAUUUACAGUAGCUCUGGUCCAGCUCUGUGCUCCAACGAUCGUUGUCGUGAGAGAGUAGCUGAACCACGCCCUGGACCAGAGCUACAUUUACAUAGUUACAGAGGGAAGUUACUGAAUUUACAAAGCGUAAUAAUAUUAAUGUUUACCAUCCAUUCAGAAUCCCGAUGGAUUCUGCUACCUGUUCUGUUCCUUGUUACUGUUACGACACACCUCCUCCUUCGCCUUUCUGUAACUGAUGUCCUGCAAAGUGCACAUAACAUGUCAUGCAAUUCAGCGUUGGUCUGACUGACACAGAAGUGGUUGAAUAAAGAGCAUGCUUGUUUCUCUAGCUACCAUCUGGCAUGUUACCUUUUCAUCACAGCUUAUUAUACUGUAAAGUUAUAGCCACAAAACGACUCCAAACGUGUACACACAAAAACAAAACAUUUCAAGUUGAUUUAAAGUGUUUUGUUCUACUUAUCAGAAUUUUUUUUUUUUUUUUUUUUUUUGCAAUUUUAUGUCUCAAGAAACAUCUAGUGACUUAAUUCAAUGGUUUUUCCUCGUGCUGUUUAACAUUGUACAAGAAAUGUUUUAAAAUAAUAGUCAAAAUGGAAAACCAAACGGAACCUGUUAGGAAUCAUUGGCAGCGUUUAACUGUUCUGCAUUAAGUAGAGGCUGUUCGAGCUUCAAAUAAAACUGCGCUUUGCGCUCCAAUAAAAUAUAUUUGUUACUUUAUUUGUAAACUUAAUAAAUAAAAGUAAUUUAAAUUAA
Long non-coding RNA from Oncorhynchus gorbuscha (pink salmon), 1824 nucleotides. RefSeq lists it as uncharacterized. The transcript has 2 exons. NCBI's taxonomy places the organism in Eukaryota, Metazoa, Chordata, Actinopteri, Salmoniformes, Salmonidae. The record is from RefSeq and is a predicted model, not a curated record.